UACAGAGGGUGCGAGCGUUGUUCGGAAUUACUGGGCGUAAAGGGCGUGUAGGCGGCCAACUAAGUCCGACGUGAAAUCCCCAGGCUUAACCUGGGAACUGCGUCGGAUACUGGAUGGCUUGAAUCCGGGAGAGGGAUGCAGAAUUCCAGGUGUAGCGGUGAAAUGCGUAGAUAUCUGGAGGAAUACCGGUGGCGAAGGCGGCAUCCUGGACCGGCAUUGACGCUGAAGCGCGAAAGCUAGGGGAGCAAACGGG
RNAcentral lists this ribosomal RNA (253 nucleotides) under uncultured bacterium. RNAcentral's name for it is "partial 16S ribosomal RNA". It matches the Rfam family "Bacterial small subunit ribosomal RNA", at positions 524 to 776 of the family's 1533-position model. The record is from RNAcentral.